This 2229-nucleotide long non-coding RNA is filed under the name Mytilus galloprovincialis (Mediterranean mussel). The record is from RNAcentral. Lineage: Eukaryota; Metazoa; Mollusca; Bivalvia; Mytilida; Mytilidae.
GGAACAUAUACGUUGCAGGUUGGAGAUCAACGGUGUGAAUGUUUCCUUGAUAUUACAGGUAUUUUUUUUCAGUUUCAUAUUCUUUAUGUUGCAUUUUGUUGAUUAAAUUUUGGACUGAGAAUUGAAUUUUGUUUAUCUCGGUUGUAGUUACUGUCUUAAAGAAAUCUAUGCUAUGAUUUCGUCAUCGCAUAUUAUUUAACAAUUUUUUAACAUAUAUUUGUUUUAAUUUUUUUUUUUUACUAUCUACAUACCUUCAAGUUAUACUCUACAAAGUUCAUAUAAUUACAAUAAAGUCAAUGUUAUAACAGUUAUAGCUAUAGAAAUGACUAUUGGUAUAAUUGGGGUAAGGAAUAGAACAACCUUAUCUUGGACAACAAUUUAAUUUUUAGAGACAGACGCGAGUUUGGUGUACGAAUUCCUUAUCCUGCUAUCUAUAAUUAGUUUAUUCAUAAGACGAAACGUGCUUCAUGCGUUCAAAACUUCAUCCUAGACUCUAUGACGAUAAGAAUAAAAACACACAUCUGACGGACAAAAACUCAAUCUAAGUAUCUAUUACGAGUUUGUUUGUUAAAAGAUAUGCGCGUCUGGCGUAUUAUAUUCAAAUCCUGAAAUCAAUGAUAAGUGAAUUAUUUUUCUGUUUGAAUGGUUUUACACUAGUCAUAUUUUGAACGGUUUAUAGCUUGCUGUUCCACAUGAGUUAAGGCUCCAUGUUAAAGACCGUACGUUGACCUAUAAUGGUUUACAUUAAAAAAAUUGUGAUUUGGAUUGAGAGUUGUCUCAUUGGAACUCAUGCCACAUUUUCUUACAACUAUUACUUAGCAUGAUAUGGUCAUCAAUUUAAAAUAACUGUUUACAAAUAAAGGCAACAGUAGUAUAUACCACUAUUCGAAAUUCACAAAUCGAUUGAGGAAAACAAAUCCGGGUUAUAAACUAAAAUUGAGGCAAAGACCUCAAAUAUAAGAGGAGAACUACGACACGACAGAACACAACACUAGAAUGACACACACACACACAGAAACGAACUAUUAUAUAGCAAUGGUCAUUUUCCUGACAUGGUACAGAACAUUUAAAAAAAAUGGUGGGUUGAACUUGGAUUUGUGGAAUGCCAUACCUCAAACUUUCGAUUUUUAGAGCAUAAAGGAAUAUAUAUAUAACCUUAGCUAAGUAAACUAUUUUGAAAAUUCCUGAAGUCUCUUUACGUGCGUUCUUUAUUUAGGCAUAUCUACUUUUUUUUUUAUUUUUGCGAUACGCCUGAAUGCAUUAGUCUUUGUACACAAAACGCGAGUAUGACGUACAAAACCUCACUCAUGAUAUCUAUAAAGAGAAUUUGUUCUGAACAACCUGUUCGAUGCAACUGCUGGUUGAUGUUUUCCUCUAGAGUUUAUCAGCCCAGUAUAAACCACUUUGGUGUUUCAAUGAAUUAAAAGUCAUAUAGUCAAACAUAUUUGAAAAAAAUGGAACUGUUGUUCCUCAAGGUUUUUUCACUUCGAACUUUAUUUUUUCCGUCUUUUUUUUUUUUUUUUUUUUUUAUUAUUUGAACAUCACUGAUCAAUUUUUGUGGACCAACGGGCAAUUCGGGUACACAUUGUCGAUCCAAGCAUCUUCAAUGAGCUUGCUUAUAGUAUUUUUGAGAAUAUUCUUCCAAAUUUACGUAGAAUCACCAAUACUUAGGUCCACUUUUCUCUCCACUGAAUUAUCAUUCAAACCACUAUUAAGAUUACUUUUGGGGCUAGCUAAAGCCCGAAUCCGGGUGCAGGAUUUUCAAUACAAGUAAACCUGGUAAUUACUUCAUCAUUUAUUUCGAAAAUAUAUGGAAAAUGCGAUGAAGGAUACUCUUUGUUUGGUUUCUAAAUUACUCCCCCUCCCUCCAUCCCCCCUAAGAAAAAAAAUAAAAAUAAAAAUAUGGGUUUUUUUUAACAUCGAUUUUCGAUAUGUCGUCUAUAUUUCAAUAUAGGUAAUAAUGUUUCUCUUAUAUUUUCCUACGAAUUCUGAAUUUUUUUUGUCAAUGCACUAUUUUUAUUUAUGUAAAGAUGAGUACUUUUUGUUAACUUUACUUUUUUUUCAAUUUGUGCUUUUAUUCACAGAAAGAACACCUACAUUAAUAAAUCUUCGGCAGUACCAGGAAGAACUUGCCGAGAUAGCUUUAACUGGUAAAAAUACUAUCAUAUGCGCUGGCACAAAUUCAGGAAAGACUUUUAUAGCAUUCCACAUAAUAGAAGAUCAUCUAAU